Molecule: ribosomal RNA, 620 nt
Filed under: uncultured bacterium
Lineage: Bacteria
Description: bacterial SSU rRNA
Rfam family: Bacterial small subunit ribosomal RNA
Source: RNAcentral
CACAGAGGGAUAGCCCAGAGAAAUUUGGAUUAAUACCUCAUAGUAUAUAGACCUGGCAUCAGGAUUAUAUUAAAGUCACAACGGUGAAAGAUGAGCAUGCGUCCCAUUAGCUAGUUGGUAUGGUAACGGCAUACCAAGGCAACGAUGGGUAGGGGUCCUGAGAGGGAGAUCCCCCACACUGGUACUGAGACACGGACCAGACUCCUACGGGAGGCAGCAGUGAGGAAUAUUGGACAAUGGGCGCAAGCCUGAUCCAGCCAUGCCGCGUGCAGGAUGACGGUCCUAUGGAUUGUAAACUGCUUUUGUACAGGAAGAAACACUCCCUCGUGAGGGAGCUUGACGGUACUGUAAGAAUAAGGAUCGGCUAACUCCGUGCCAGCAGCCGCGGUAAUACGGAGGAUCCAAGCGUUAUCCGGAAUCAUUGGGUUUAAAGGGUCCGUAGGCGGCUUUAUAAGUCAGUGGUGAAAUCUCCCGGCUCAACCGGGAAAUGGCCAUUGAUACUGUAAGGCUUGAAUUAUUAGGAAGUAACUAGAAUAUGUAGUGUAGCGGUGAAAUGCUUAGAGAUUACAUGGAAUACCAAUUGCGAAGGCAGGUUACUACUAAUGGAUUGACGCUGAUGG